Molecule: ribosomal RNA, 252 nt
Filed under: uncultured bacterium
Lineage: Bacteria
Description: partial 16S ribosomal RNA
Rfam family: Bacterial small subunit ribosomal RNA
Source: RNAcentral
UACAGAGACUGCAAGCGUUAUUCGGAUUCACUGGGCGUAAAGGGUGCGCAGGCGGCCGUAUGUGUGAGGCGUGAAAGCCCGGGGCUUAACCCCGGAAUUGCACCUCAAACUAUACGGCUAGAGCAUUGGAGAGGUAGCAGAAUUCAUGGUGUAGCAGUGAAAUGCGUAGAUAUCAUGAGGAAUACCAGAGGCGAAGGCGGCUACCUGGACAAUUGCUGACGCUCAGGCACGAAAGCGUGGGGAGCAAAAGGG